Molecule: ribosomal RNA, 787 nt
Filed under: uncultured eukaryote
Lineage: Eukaryota
Description: bacterial SSU rRNA
Rfam family: Bacterial small subunit ribosomal RNA
Source: RNAcentral
UAUGCCGCAAGGUGAAAUACGAAAGUGCCUAAAGACGAGCUCGCGCCUGAUUAGCUAGUUGGUGGGGUAAAGGCCUACCAAGGCGACGAUCAGUAGCUGGUUUGAGAGAAUGAUCAGCCACACUGGAACUGAGACACGGUCCAGACUCCUGCGGGAGGCAGCAGUGGGGAAUUUUCCGCAAUGGGCGAAAGCCUGACGGAGCAAUACCGCGUGAGGGAUUAAGGCCUGUGGGUUGUAAACCUCUUUUCUCAAGGAAGAAUCAAUGACGGUACUUGAGGAAUAAGCAUCGGCUAACUCCGUGCCAGCAGCCGCGGUAAUACGGGGGAUGCAAGCGUUAUCCGGAAUUAUUGGGCGUAAAGCGUCUGUAGGUUGUUUAAUAAGUCUGUUGUUAAAGACUGGGGCUUAACCCCAGGAAAGCAAUAGAAACUGUUAGGCUAGAGUGUGGUAGAGGUAGAGGGAAUUCCUAGUGUAGCGGUGAAAUGCGUAGAUAUUAGGAAGAACACCGGUGGCGAAAGCGCUCUGCUGGGCCAUAACUGACACUCAGAGAUGAAAGCUAGGGUAGCAAAUGGGAUUAGAUACCCCAGUAGUCCUAGCCGUAAACGAUGGAUACUAGAUGUUGCGUAACUCGAUUAUGCAGUGUUGUAGCUAACGCGUUAAGUAUCCCGCCUGGGGAGUACACUCGCAAGGGUGAAACUCAAAGGAAUUGACGGGGGCCCGCACAAGCGGUGGAGCAUGUGGUUUAAUUUGAUGCAACGCGAAGAACCUUACCAAGGCUUGACAUGUCACG